This is a long non-coding RNA of Hevea brasiliensis (rubber tree), 3182 nucleotides long. RefSeq lists it as uncharacterized. The transcript has 8 exons. The record is from RefSeq and is a predicted model, not a curated record. Lineage: Eukaryota; Viridiplantae; Streptophyta; Magnoliopsida; Malpighiales; Euphorbiaceae.
UGCAUUGUUAUUCUAUUUAAUAUUUUUAAUAUUGAAUUCAGUGUUUUCCAAUAUGUUCUGUGUUGUUGGAUGCGGAAGAGUAGUUCAAUGCUAUUUACAGAGCGCACACAUCGUUAAAUGAGAUUUAUAAAAAUGAAUUUUCAAAUUCAUAUUUAUUUGACUCUAAUAAAAGGCCCUUACACGGGUUAUUUACCCAUUGCGAUCUCCUUCCGCUAUGGUAUACAUCACGCAUACAUAGAACAUACUCUUCGGCUCCUCGCUUGAAGCAGCACCGGGUUUUGAUGUCUUGAACACAAAGGUUUUGUGGGCAUAUGUUUAGGAAUGUCCUGCUCAUGCUGUGAGACUGUUUCAGUUUCACAUGGCACUCACCCUAUCAGCUGUGCAGGCAUGUGACCGCCAUUGUAGUAUUGGGAAACAAUUGAAAAGUGUAAUUUUCUUCAAAUUUGAAAGAGGACAACGAAUUUCUUUGAUUAGAAGAUUGAUUAGAAGAAUGAGGUGCUUAUGGCAUUCUUAUAUUUCUUGCUUAAUAAAGGAUGGGAAACUGUAUUUAUUUCUAUUACUUUGAAAUGGCUAUAUUAGUCAUAGAUUAUCUAAUUUCCAUGUGAAUAUAUCAAGACUGUGUUUUGGAUCGAAGAAUGAGUUUGCAGAAAAGCUGCUGUAUGAAGCAAAUAAAUAUAAUGUGCCAAGUGUCUCUGAUCAUUUUAAGGUGCUUAAUGAGGUAAUUAUGUGUGAAGAAUUAUAAUGGUUGCUUCACUUGUGUGCUUCAAGGUCCUCUUCCUGAAUGCUUCAAGAUUUUCUUCAUCAUCCUGAAUGCUUCAAGUAGUUUCCAUGGUUGAGCUUGAGGUCCUCGUGAAUCUUUAAUAGGAUUUAUUUUAAUUCAUUAAAAUAACUUCAUAAUUGAAACCAACAUAGUGUUUCCCUUACAUGGAAAGUGUGUCCCAGCCUGUGGAAUGAAGUCUCUUUCCACCUCUCCCAUCUCAGCCAGCAUGAUCCAACCCAUUUUAACAUCAAACACCCUUGAAACUUUUUACACAGGUGGCUGCACAUGCCAACAACCAAAUCAAUAAACGUUUUCAAACAAAUGGAAUACUCAGACACAACAAAAUUGUCAACCAAAUGUCAACCCCAUAAAGAAGUUGAGCUUUGUGGGACAGAGGAGGAGGGAACAAAAUUAGGAGAGAAAAAUAGGAAGAGAGAUAAAUUAGUAUAUUUCUUAUACAUGACAAAAAUAUAUUAAAAAGAAAAGACAUUUUUAACUAAAUUAAUGAAAAAUUUAUUAUAAAUUUAAAAUCUCACUUAUUUUAUAUAAAUCUCAGUACAUAUUUUCUAUUUUAUAAUAAAUUAAUUUUAAAUAAAAAUUUAUCCUAAAUUAAUAUGUUGGGAGUUUUACAUUAUAAACUGAAAUAAGAAUUAUAGGCGGAGGGAUGAAAUUAAUGGCAUUGUAACUUGUAAACUAGUGUACCAAAUAGAACUUUCGUUGUUUUAGGAAAAAAAAAAAUUAAACCCUUCAUAAUUAUUAUGUCAAAUAAGCCAAUUUUUUUAUACUAAUUUCUCUUUCAUUCUCUUACUUAAUUACAUCAAUAAAAAAUAAAUAAUUAAAAAAUAUGAAUUUUAUGCAUUGUUAUUCUAUUUAAUAUUUUUAAUAUUGAAUUCAGUGUUUUCCAAUAUGUUCUGUGUUGUUGGAUGCGGAAGAGUAGUUCAAUGCUAUUUACAGAGCACACACAUCGUUCAAUGAGAUUUAUAAAAAUGAAUUUUCAAUUCAUAUUUAUUUGACUCUAAUAAAAUGCCCUUACACGGGUUAUUUACCCAUUGCGAUCUCCUUCCGCUAUGGUAUAUAUCACGCAUACAUAGAACAUACUCUUCGGCUCCUCGCUUGAAGCAGCACCGGGUUUUGAUGUCUUGAACACAAAGGUUUUGUGGGCAUAUGUUUAGGAAUGUCCUGCUCAUGCUGUGAGACUGUUUCAGUUUCACAUGGCACUCACCCUAUCAGCUGUGCAGGCAUGUGACCGCCAUUGUAGUAUUGGGAAACUAUUGAAAAGUGUAAUUUUCUUCAAAUUUGAAAGAGGACAACGAAUUGCUUUGAUUAGAAGAUUGAUUAGAAGAAUGAGAUUAUCUAAUUUCCAUGUGAAUAUAUCAAGACUGUGUUUUGGAUCGAAGAAUGAGUUUGCAGAAAAGCUGCUGUAUGAAGUAAAUAAAUAUAAUGUGCCAAGUAUCUCUGAUCAUUUUAAGGUGCUUAAUAAGGUAAAUUAUGUGUAAAGAAUUAUAAUGGUUGCUUCACUUGUGCGCUUCAAGGUCCUCUUCCUGAAUGCUUCAAGAUUUUCUUCAUCAUUCUGGAUAUUCCUGGCAAUCUGCUUCCUUUAGGUGUCAGUGCUGAUGGAUCAUGAUGGUUUUCAUGAUUUAAUUGAGAAUGAAAAAGCUGAAGAGCAAUCUGGUUGGGAUCUCAAAGAUGCUGUCGAUGAUUUUGAUGUCUCCUUGGCACAUAAAAGAUUUCCUUCUAUUGUUUUUGGCUAUUCUCCUCCUGUAGAAUUAUAUGAUGUGACUCCACAUCACUCUGAAAUGAAGAUCCCUUUAUCAGCUGAAUGUUAUAAAGGAUUUUCCUCAAACACUCUGGGUGAGAAAUGGGCUGGCCCGAAUGGUCUUUCUGAGUAGUGGACUACUGCAGGAACCCUUCCAGUUAUGGAAACCGCUGUAUCAUUUCCCUCGAACCUCUGCUGAUUUGCAAACAGCACAAGUUGGAUUGAUGAUGGGCAGUACUUGAUUUCCGAUGGGAGAAUUAUCUUCCAGAAAGUUCUAGGUGAUUGGUCAUGAAUUGUGGCAAUUUCCAGUGCUGAAGCAUGAGCUUAGCAUACGGCAACCUCUUUGUCUUCUUGCAGAUCGAUAAACAAGUAUGAAAGAAUCACAAAACUAUGUUCAAGACAAUACUCAGUUGCGUAACAGAUGAAUCAUGCUUUUGCAUCCCACUCAAUUCUAUUUCAUGUAUUUUGCGCGUCAAUGUAAAUGUUAUAGUGACAGAUUCAAAGAUUCAAAUCUCCCCUUUCUCAGUUUCGACUACCAUUCACUUCACUUGAGUUGCAUUUAAAUUUGUAAUUUGGUUCUGAGAUAAAUAAGCUGUGUGACACAAGCACAGUUGUGUUGUAUUAUUCCAGAUAUUGCAAGAACUAGUCAUCAGGAAUGGUUACGCA